RNAcentral lists this ribosomal RNA (786 nucleotides) under uncultured bacterium. RNAcentral's name for it is "bacterial SSU rRNA". It matches the Rfam family "Bacterial small subunit ribosomal RNA", at positions 8 to 796 of the family's 1533-position model. The record is from RNAcentral.
AGAGUUUGAUCAUGGCUCAGAGCGAACGCUGGCGGCGUGCUUAACACAUGCAAGUCGAGUGCGCGGUUGUAGCAAUACAACUGGCGCACGGCGCACGGGUGCGUAACACGUGGGUAAUCUGCCCUCUGAUGGGGAAUAACUCGCCGAAAGGCGAGCUAAUACCGCAUAACAUUCCUUGGACUCCGGUUCGAGGAUUCAAAGGCGUAAGUCGUCGGAGGUGGGGCCCGCGCACGAUUAGCUAGUUGGUAGGGUAAAGGCCUACCAAGGCUAUGAUCGUUAGCUGGUCUGAGAGGAUGGCCAGCCACACUGGAACUGAGACACGGUCCAGACUCCUACGGGAGGCAGCAGUGGGGAAUCUUGCACAAUGGGCGAAAGCCUGAUGCAGCGACGCCGCGUGGGGGAUGAAGCUUCUCGGAGUGUAAACCCCUUUCGACCGGGACGAAUACCUCGCAAGAGGGGUGACGGUACCGGUAUAAGAAGCCCCGGCUAACUACGUGCCAGCAGCCGCGGUAAGACGUAGGGGGCCAGCGUUGCUCGGAAUUACUGGGUGUAAAGGGUUCGUAGGCGGUGUGGCAAGUCGGGAGUGAAAUCUCUGGGCUCAACUCAGGGGCUGCUUCCGAAACUGCCGUGCUAGAGUGUGGGAGAGGCGCGUGGAAUUGCAGGUGUAGCGGUGAAAUGCGUAGAUAUCUGCAGGAACACCCGUGGCGAAAGCGGCGCGCUGGACCACUACUGACGCUGAGGAACGAAAGCUAGGGGAGCAAACAGGAUUAGAUACCCUAGUAGUCC